RNAcentral lists this ribosomal RNA (253 nucleotides) under uncultured bacterium. RNAcentral describes it as "partial 16S ribosomal RNA". It matches the Rfam family "Bacterial small subunit ribosomal RNA", at positions 524 to 776 of the family's 1533-position model. The record is from RNAcentral.
UACGGAGGGUGCGAGCGUUAAUCGGAAUUACUGGGCGUAAAGCGCACGUAGGUGGUUGGGUAAGUCGGAUGUGAAAGCCCUGGGCUUAACCUGGGAACUGCAUUCGAUACUGUCCGACUAGAGUAUGGGAGAGGGAAGCGGAAUUUCCGGUGUAGCGGUGAAAUGCGUAGAUAUCGGAAGGAACACCAAUGGCGAAGGCAGCUUCCUGGCCCAAUACUGACACUCAGGUGCGAAAGCGAGGGGAUCAAACAGG